RNAcentral lists this ribosomal RNA (253 nucleotides) under uncultured bacterium. RNAcentral describes it as "partial 16S ribosomal RNA". It matches the Rfam family "Bacterial small subunit ribosomal RNA", at positions 524 to 776 of the family's 1533-position model. The record is from RNAcentral.
UACGUAGGUGGCAAGCGUUGUCCGGAUUUACUGGGCGUAAAGGGCGCGUAGGCGGCCUGCUAAGUCGGACGUGAAAUCCCCCGGCUCAACCGGGGAACUGCGUCCGAUACUGGUGGGCUCGAAUCCGGGAGAGGGAUGUGGAAUUCCAGGUGUAGCGGUGAAAUGCGUAGAUAUCUGGAGGAACACCGGUGGCGAAGGCGGCAUCCUGGACCGGCAUUGACGCUGAGGCGCGAAAGCCAGGGGAGCAAACGGG